CUUUUAGUUGUUAUUUGUGACUAUUUCUGAAGAUAUACAUUUCAUUGACAGUGAUUCGCAUUUUGCCGAAGAUCUAGUUAAAAGCUGUUAGCGUUGCCUUCCUGUUUAGCAGUAGGUUGUAAAUUUGGCCAGUUUUGCAUUUUCGGGUUCAAGCCUAUGAAAAAAAAACGUGUCAAGAAAUCGCCUUAGUUUAAUGUUCCACGGCCUGUCGCGACAGUUCUUCGAGCAAUACUGAAAUCCGUUCCUAGUGAAGUACUGAAUAUGACACACAAAAAAAUACAACUCUGCACCGCGGACCAGGUUAAUACACCUGAACCCCUUCCGGGUCUACGGACUAUUUAGCAGUGGUCCACUUCUCGUACUUAAACCGCACUAUUAAAUAACGGAUCUAGCCGGUUCGACCGUUGCUGCUGUUGCUUUUUCAGGUAUUAUGGAUAUAAAAUUUACGAUCACAAACUAAAUGUCUGUCACUCCAGCAGCAAUGACGUUAUACAGGCGAAUCUGAUGGGGGCGUGGUUGUGGCCCGCGUCACGUGGUUUCUUGUUUUGGUUCUUGUCCGAGUUCCGGGCUCGUGUCGCUGAUCCCCGGGCCGCUCGCAGUGCAUGGCUGCAGCAGCUGUGUCGACUGCCUGGCUUCGUAGCAUUUUCCGCCGCAGCGUACUGUCCCUUAGAUCCACCUCCACGGUCGACAUGAACCCCACGGGCUCGGCGGUGUGCCGCUCACUUCUGGAGCGCCUUCCAUUUCACAACUUGGCGCUGAGGAGGCUUCCGCUGGACCCUUCCUUGGAGCCAGGCGUGAGGGAAGUACGGGGCGCCUGCUUCUCCCGCGUUCAGACACAGCCGCUGCUCAGCCCCAGGUUCGUUGCAGUGUCCGAGCCCGCCCUGGCUCUGCUUGGGCUUAGCGUCCAGGACGUGCUGAGCGAUCCGCUCGCCCCGGAGUAUCUCAGCGGAUCCAAGAUCAUGCCAGGCUCCGAGCCGGCCGCUCAUUGCUACUGCGGACACCAGUUCGGCUCAUUCGCUGGACAGCUAGGCGACGGAGCUGCUUGCUACCUGGGCGAGGUGAAAGCCCCCGCGGAUCAAAGCGAAGAUCUGCUGCGCGAAAACCCCUCUGGCCGCUGGGAGAUUCAGGUGAAGGGCGCUGGGCCCACACCCUAUUCAAGACAAGCGGACGGCCGCAAGGUGCUGCGCUCCAGCAUCCGGGAGUUCCUGUGCAGCGAGGCAGUGUUCGCCCUGGGGAUUCCCACCACCCGUGCGGGCUCACUGGUCACCUCUGACCUCCAUGUACUGCGUGACGUCUUCUACGACGGGCGGGCCCGCCGGGAAAGGUGCUCUGUUGUCCUGCGUAUCGCCCCCACUUUCAUCCGAUUUGGGUCCUUCGAGAUCUUCAAGCCGGCGGAUGAGUUCACCGGUCGCCAGGGCCCGAGCGUUGGCCGGGAUGACAUCCGGGCCCAGCUCCUCGAUUACGUCAUUGAGACGUUUUACCCAGAAAUUCAGCAGAGCCACACAGACAGGGAGGCGCGAAAUGCUGCCUUCUUCAGAGAGGUGACACGGCGCACAGCCCGACUAGUGGCACAGUGGCAGUGUGUGGGCUUCUGUCAUGGCGUCCUCAACACAGACAACAUGAGCAUCUUGGGACUGACUCUAGAUUAUGGCCCCUUUGGAUUCAUGGACAGGUUCGACCCAGACUUUGUGUGCAACGCUUCUGACAACAUGGGUCGCUACUCCUACCAAGCUCAGCCGGCGGUGUGCCGCUGGAACCUGGCAUGCUUGGCUGAGGCCCUCGGACCCGAGCUGCCGGAGGGCCAGGCACAGGCCAUCCUGGAUGAAUACCUGCCCCUCUACAACACCUUCUACCUGGGCAACAUGCGGAGGAAGCUGGGCUUGCUGAGGAAGGAGGAGGCCGAGGAUGAGCUGCUUGUCACAGAGCUGCUGCAGACGAUGCACAAUACUGGCGCUGACUUUACCAACACGUUCCGCUCCUUGAGCCAGGUACCUUGUCCCAAGGAGGGAGAGGUAGAGGCUGAUGUCCUGGAGGCUGCAGUGAACCUCCUCCUGGAGCAGUGCGCCUCCCUGGAGGAGCUCAAGGCAGCGAACAAACCCACCAUGGACCAACGUGAACUGUUGAUGAUCUUGUCUUUAGCUGAGUCCAACCCAGCCAUCUUCCAGCUGUUGGCUGGCAAGAAGAUGGUUACCAGGCAGCUGGAAAAGCUUGCAAGGCUGAAGGAGCUCAUGGAUACCAACCAGGAGGUUCUGAGGUCCAAGCAGAGGGAGGAUUGGACUCGCUGGAUGAAACAGUACAGGAGGCGCCUUGCCCAGGAGUGCACUGGAUUGGAUGAUGUCCAUGCUGUGGAGGAGGAGAGGGUGCGGGUAAUGGACAGCACAAAUCCCCGGGUCGUGCUCAGAAACUACAUCGCCCAGAAUGCCAUCGAUGUGGCUGAAAGUGGUGACUUCUCAGAGGUCCAGCGGGUCCUCAAGGUUCUGAAGAAGCCUUUCUCUACUCAGCUGGACUUGGAAAAGCCCGGCCUGGUGGCCCAGGGUGGGAUGAUGGAGCAGGGAGAGAGGGAUGAGGGUGGGGCAGGGGAGGAAGGUCAAGGGGCCACCUCCAGACCGUUUGUAUGCUAUGACAGCAGGCCUCCAACCUGGGCCAGUGAAAUUUGUGUUACCUGAUCAUCAUAGUGCCUCUCUGACGAACACAUCACUUGACUGUGAAAACAGGGGAUGGUUUCUGGUUAAGAAUUGUCCCUAAGAACUAAUCUGAAAUCAGAUAAUCCAAUAGCCCCCAUUUUCACAGAUUCUUCAGGUGAAUUAAUGUCUAGGGAGGUCGUUUUUGGCGUAAGGGCUUCUGUUAGCCAUUCCAGACCACAAAGAUGGAGAGGGAAAAAUGAAUGUAAGGCCAGUGAGGAUGUUUCCUACCAAAAGUCAUGAGACGCCCAUCUGGUUGCAGGGAAAUGCAAAUUAUUUAUACUAUCAGUGCAAAACCAUUACAGACUUUAUCAUGGGUGAGUUUUAUUAAUAAGUUGGAGUGGAACAUGGUCCUUCCACCUUCCAAGAAUUAAUACAAGUCUUCAAUAAUACAUUUAAUCUGCAAUUUGGGCAGGAAGUAUGUUACUAAAUUCCUUUCAUGACCAGUUAUCUCCAUUGACUGGAACCGUAUUUGUGCAGGAAAAGCUGUACUAGCCAAACUACUUCUGUAUUUAUCAACUAUAUACAUACAAAUGAUCUCACCUGAAGUGCUGCUACUUCUAUUGCUAUAAACGUAAUAUCAAUAUGAAAAGCUUUUGGUGAGAUGUAGCCUGGCCUCAACCCCCCAUCUCCAUCAUUGUGUGUUGGUUUGGUUAGAAAUGAAGGCUCAGACACCAAGUCCUUUUGGGAUCUGUCUAGAGUCCGAGAACAGGAGUGCCCUUCUCCAGUUUCAGCACGCGCACGCGCUCGCACACACACACACACAAGAGUGUCUGAUCAGGAACUGCGUAGCUAAGAAGGCGUCCAUCCAGCAUCAUUCCUUUUUGGUGUUGAGCCUUUCCAGAAUGGUUUUGGUUACAGUUAUGUGAGCUCUGUCACUUUUCAGCAAAUAUUUUAAAAUCUUUGGUUUGGAUUGUAUUGUGUUUUGUAAUUCAAUAGGAGCUAUAGGACUUGUAGCACAAACGUCUUAGGCAGUCAAAGCAAGAAAGAAAGAAAGUCGAUCUUUGUGUUGUUGUCAACUGUCAAAGUUUGUUAGCUAGGCCAUUUCAACACCUUUGCUAACAGAAUAUCGGUAACUUUUUGGGUAACGCUGGGGCACUAGGAGGUGAGUUUUACAUGCACAGACGUUAACGGAUGGCAGGCUUAAGUGAACCAGGCAUUUCUGUCUGAGUGUGUUAACAUAAAAGAAGCAUGAAGGCAGCUGUAUCCACAUUCUACACUCAUGAUACAGACUAAGAGCUGCCCUUUGACAGGUAGGCGGUAGGUAAUACCCGCUCCUGCCGGAGGUAGGUAAUACCCGCUCCUGCCGGAGGUAGGUAAUACCCGCUCCUGCCGGAGGUAGGUAAUACCCGCUCCUGUCGGAUGUAGGUAAUACCCGCUCCUGUCGGAUGUAGGUAAUACCCGCUCCUAUCGGCAAACUUAAUCAUCAGCAUCCCCCGGCGCAAAUUUAAUCUGACUACGGCCAGAGCCGAAUAUCAAUAUUGGGGUUGAAACAUUUAAUUUCUUUGUACAAAAUUUAAAAAAAAUCAGUGGUGUCCCCCGUCCCGACUUCUUUCAAUGGCUACGAUUUUGGUGAAUGGGUGGGAUUUUUGCUUGUUCUAACCAGAAAACCUGCACUUAGACCUGCUCAGAUAAGUUUGGGCAUGCAGUGACAAUAUACUAAAAGUGAGCGAUGAUUCAUAGUACCCAAAGCUCAGAAGUUAGCCUCCAGAAACUUCACUAAGCCAGUUAACCGCUCUGUAGUACACUCUUCAGAAGAAAUGUGUUCAUUUUUAUACUUUAAAUUGUCAGCUGGUUAAUUUCCAUAUAUAUUCUAACUGUGGGGUUUUCUUUGAGCAAAUAUACAAUUACUACCUGGUUGAACAACUGUAAACAUUUUCUUUGACUGCCUAAGACUUUUGCACAGUACUUUACUCAAGUGCAAUAGGAAUUUUUUAAGGUUUUUUUUUUUUUUUUUGGCGGGGGGGGGAGGUAUUUGGGUUUUGCUGCGUGAUUGGCGGUUUCAGCUAUCUGCAGUUGCUGACACUGCAGGAAAAUGCAAGCUGAGUCACAUGUCCUCAAUGCCAGUUUUCAGUCACAGCUUUUAUUACCGAUAUAUUAAAGUAAUUUUCCUUUCCAAGUGACCUAACAUUUUUUUGCAUUUAAUAAGCUAUAUAGAAUUUGGUCUUAAAGUAAUUUUGAUACCAGAUCAUUUAUACAACUUUUGCAGCAAUCUUCAUAAAAUGAUGACAUUCAAGGGUCUAGUUUUAUAUUUUUAUGAAUCUUUCAGUAUAUGAAUUGCAGGAUGUGGUUGAAUAUUCUUUCAGAAAUGGUGAAUAAAGCACCUUUAAUAUGA
Non-coding RNA from Paramormyrops kingsleyae, 5016 nucleotides. The record is from RefSeq and is a predicted model, not a curated record. Lineage: Eukaryota; Metazoa; Chordata; Actinopteri; Osteoglossiformes; Mormyridae.